Molecule: ribosomal RNA, 253 nt
Filed under: uncultured bacterium
Lineage: Bacteria
Description: partial 16S ribosomal RNA
Rfam family: Bacterial small subunit ribosomal RNA
Source: RNAcentral
UACGUAGGGGGCAAGCGUUGUCCGGAAUCAUUGGGCGUAAAGCGCGUGUAGGCGGCUCGAUAAGUCUGCUGUGAAAGUCCAAGGCUCAACCUUGGGAUGCCGGUGGAUACUGUCGAGCUCGAGUCCGGAAGAGGAGUGUGGAAUUCCUGGUGUAGCGGUGAAAUGCGCAGAUAUCAGGAGGAACACCAAUGGCGAAGGCAGCACUCUGGGACGUGACUGACGCUGAGACGCGAAAGCGUGGGGAGAAAACAGG